Molecule: long non-coding RNA, 2466 nt
Organism: Corvus hawaiiensis (hawaiian crow)
Lineage: Eukaryota; Metazoa; Chordata; Aves; Passeriformes; Corvidae
Exons: 2
Source: RefSeq, a predicted model, not a curated record
GGCGGCGCAGUGCGGAAGGACGCGGGACGGAGGAAGCGGAUCCCGCCGGCUCCGCGGCCCCGGGCGGGGCGGGCGGACGAUUAAAGAAGUUCAUCUCCCCCCACCUGAUGUGCCACAGACCCUUCACCACCUCCAUCACCCUGCAUUGGAUUUUCCAGUUUUUUUCACAGGUAUCUCCCAGGAGAGGGGUUGGACAUCUACCAGAAGAUAUCAAAAAGUCAGAGUUGUCUGGGCUAAGUCACCUGACUGACUAUUCCCAGCUGGGAGACACCAAACUGGGGGGUAUUUGCUAUUUAAAGCAGACGAAUGCUAACAGGGAUAUUGGGAUUCACUGUGUCACCUCAUCCACUGAAACGGCAAAGCAGAAUAUUUACUGAUCUGGUCAAAAAGUGUCUCACCAUGACAGGAAUGAAAACAGCAAUAAAAUACUUUUAUCAGCAAUUCUGAUUCCAGUGCCUGAUAGUGCAAAUAUCCCAGGCAGAGGAGAACAUGGGAUUUGUCUUUCAGAUUCCUGGGAAAAAAAAAAAAAAACAAGUUAAGAUCCUGGAAAGAUCUAAAGAUCUAAGAGUGUUUCUAUCUCGACCCUGAUAUUUUUUAUCAGAACAUGCAAAAUAUUUAAUGCAGAUUCUCCUUGGCUGUGCCAUUGCUUUUACAGGCUUUUUAUUGCUUAUAAACCAAAUCAUGUCAUCGCUGAUACUUUCUCUGACCCUUUAGUUAAAAUGUUACCCCAAGGACAAUCAUAUCUUUCUGUGCUCAGUUUUUGCUGAGUACUCCAGGAUCCUUGGAUUUGCAUGGGGUGGGAGCAGAGGCCCACCCAGGGAUAAGACCAACUCCAUCAACACUGCCUGCAAUCAUUCUGCAUUUUUGCCACGAAAAGCAUUGACAUUUCCUCCAAAAAAGCUUCAUUUGAAAUUAGCAAAAACUUCUGUUCUCGUCUUUCCUAGGUGGGGGGAAGUCAGAAAUUCACUGAUAUUAAACAGACAAAAAGAAGGGUGACUGAGCACUGGAAUGGACUGCUCAGGCUGUGGAGUCUCCAUCCUUGGACACAUCCAAAAGUCAUCUGGAAAUGGUCCUGGGCACUCAGGUCCCAGGGAGGUGGGACUGGAUGACCACCAGCAUCCCUUUCAACCUCAACCACUCCAGGAUUCUGUGAAGAAAUGGGUUUGAGCCGUCAUAUUUUUGUACAUUUGAAAGGAAGAAAAUUUUUUUGCUGCAAAAACAACUUCUUUUCCUGCUCACCUCAAAUGCUGUCUGGAUUUAUCCCUUUAUGGAAAAUCAAAAAAAAAAAAAGGGGGAGGAAAAAGCAAGGGUUAACAAACGCUCUGAAAUACAGGAAGAAUAUGGGCAAACCAGGACGUGAUAAUCGCUGGAUGGGUGGGAAGACACAGGUUAAUGGGAACAGAAGCAGAUAAACACACCAUUUCUGGAUAGAAGGGAUACAGGAGAGGGACUAGACGGUAAUGUGGGUGGGAAUUGGAAAGAAAUGAUGGGAUUAGUAUUUUAACAGGAUCUAAAGCUGGUUGGUUGAGAACACUGGUGGCUAGCCUGCCCACCCUAACCCUAACCCCUAACCUUAACUUCUGCCCUCCUCCAUUGCCACUGCUCUACCACUAUUGUCUCCAUCCUAGGAAGCACCACGGUGAGAUUGCACUGCAAGCAGGAGGUCGAGGUCAAGGUCAUGCUCAGGCAGGCUGGAGAACACCUUUCUGAGGAGAGAGGUCUUACCACAAUGCAAUUUUGCAUUCUUUCCCAAACUGCAUUUGUGGCCUGUCACCAUCUUUGGAAGGACAGCUUGACUCGCAUGCCCUUGCUGCCCUCUUGAGUGUAUCUGUAGGUACUUCUGGCCAUGACUGCCAUUUUGAGUGUGGCAUGAUGCAAUUUCUGGUAAACACUUGCCAUCUUGAGAGUGGCACUAUGAGUUUGUUCCAGGUCCACCAUCUUGAGUGUUAUGGCACAUGGCUUCCUGUCACAGUCGCCAUCUUGAGAGUGGACUGAUGCCAAUUCUUGGCUCCUCUACUGUCUUGAGCAUAUUGCCACGUGACUUGCUGCAGCCCAAACCCAAUGGCACUUGGCAACAACCCUGCUCCUCCUUUGGCUCACUGCAACCCUCGUCCGCCACUGUCACUGCAACUGGGUCCUGCGCUUGGUGCUCCUGCAUGCUCCAGGGCCAGCAGGAGGCUGCGGCAGGCAUAGAAAGCGCCACAGUAACACUCCGAAAGAUCACUGUGCGUGCCCACAUUUUUUAGUUGCAGUACUUGUUUUUAGCUGCAGGUGGCAUCAGCAAGUCGUUUAAGUCAUGGUACAUAUGCCCGUUUGUCGUGGGUUGACACUGGUUAGGCACCAGCACCACAAAAAACCUAUUCACUUACUUGCCCCUACUGUAGCUAAGCAGAGAAGGGGAAAUUGAAACUUCAUUUUUAUGAGGUGAAAUAAGGAUUAUUGAGGAAAACGGAAAACCUUCAAGGC